RNAcentral lists this ribosomal RNA (253 nucleotides) under uncultured bacterium. RNAcentral describes it as "partial 16S ribosomal RNA". It matches the Rfam family "Bacterial small subunit ribosomal RNA", at positions 524 to 776 of the family's 1533-position model. The record is from RNAcentral.
UACAGAGGUCCCAAGCGUUGUUCGGAUUUACUGGGCGUAAAGGGUGCGUAGGUGGCAGGGUAAGUUCGGUGUGAAAGCUUCGAGCUCAACUCGGAAACGGCAUUGAAAACUAUCCUGCUUGAGGGUCGGAGGGGAGACUGGAAUUCUCGGUGUAGCAGUGAAAUGCGUAGAUAUCGAGAGGAACACCAGUGGCGAAGGCGGGUCUCUGGACGAUUCCUGACACUGAGGCACGAAAGCUAGGGGAGCAAACAGG